This is a long non-coding RNA of Vespa velutina, 10551 nucleotides long. RefSeq lists it as uncharacterized. NCBI's taxonomy places the organism in Eukaryota, Metazoa, Arthropoda, Insecta, Hymenoptera, Vespidae. The transcript has 2 exons. The record is from RefSeq and is a predicted model, not a curated record.
CCGUUGAUUAAAAAGACCGAUAGCCUUUGUAGAACAGAAGGUGGAGAAUGUGUGUAUAUGUGUGUGUGUGUGUGUGUAUGGAGGGGGGAAAAUUUUCAUGAAUCUCAACAAAGACGUCGGAGAUAUAAAGGGAAAGAAUGGUGAGGUGAAGAGAGUAAAAGAAAACAAUAUAUAUAUAUAUAUAAAUACCAUGGAUUGUGCGGAAAUUUUUCCAUGAAGGAUAGAUCGAAGGGAUCGAAGGUAAGAGAUCUUCGGUUCAAUCGAAUGUCCCUGAAAAAAAGAGAGAGAGAGAGAGAGAGAGAUAGGAAAGAAAUGAUCGUGACGAGAGGCAAAGUGAACAGGGAAAAGAGGCAAAUCUACUUCGAGACGUCUAGUCGAACAUGUACAUAGAUAGAUAAUACGCGGUAGAUAUGUAUUAAGAGAUAUAAGUACAAACGUUGAUAGGAAGGCGUAUUCGAUGAGGAGUUCUUGAACUAUGUCGAGCGUUGAAAAAAAAAGGAGAGAAAGAAAAGGAGGAGGUGGGUGGGAGGUAAUCUGGAGGGGGAGAGGAAGACAGAGAGAAAGAGAGAGAAAGAGAGACAGAUAGAGGGAAGGGUUCGGUUAAAAGGGCGACCCGAGCGAAAGAAGGGAAGGGCCAGAGUCGUUAGCUUGCCCGAGGCCAUGGACGCCAUAUUUUAUUACUUAAACGGCAUGCCGGGUAGGUUGGUUUGUUGGUUAAACAAGGAAUUAAUGCCGCGGUAAUCUGUCAUUAUGGAUACUCGUGCACGAGGAUCCACGGUUGCAUGCUUCGUCUCUUUCUUUCUCUGUUUUACACACCCACACACACACACAUUCUUUGUUAACAUGCAAUUCUCUCUCUUUCUCUUUCGCACGUUCAUCUCGUAUCUCUCUAUGCCGAUAACUUCCGAUUGGUUCGUUAAAAAGACGAAGAGUAAAGGAGAGAAAACGACCGAAGAAGACUCCUACCUUCGAUUUUUCGUACGUGUUGGUUAGUUUACGUUCGCGUUAAUAUACACUGAUAUAUGUGUAUAUAUCUAUAUAUAUAUAUGUGUAUAUAUAUAUAUAUAUACAUACAUGUCAAUAUAUGUAUGUAGGAGCAGGGUAUGUCAUUUGUGCACGAUGCCAUCGGCGAUCCAUCAUCGAAAAUGGCAGGGAUGAAUAAUGGACGAAUCAAUGUUGAGUUUGCAAUCCUUUGGCCUCCUCUCUUUUUCGCUUUCUUUCUUUCUUUCUUUCUUUCAUUUUUUUACGUGCGAAAAAGAUAGUGUGUGUGUGUGAGAGAGAGAGAGAGAGAGAGAGAGAGAGAGAGAGGGAGAGAGAGAGGAUGAUAUUCGUAUAUACGUAUACGAAUAUCAUCCUCUCUAUGACGUUCCUUUCGAAAUUUAUAUUGCCUGCUAUGACGACUAUGACGAGGUAAAUUGAGAAGUCCCUAAGUAAAGGAAAGAUUCGUCGUGCUCUCCUCAUUUUUUUUUUUUCUUGAUGCAACCAGGAGGGUUGGAUUUUGUUUAUCACGAUUUUUAAAAGAGAAUACGAUAUAUACGUACACACACACACACACACACAUACAUGUAUAUACAUACAUAUACAUGUACAUGAGGUAUACCGUAGGAAAAAGAAAUCUACGGAGUUUUCCGUAUUGGGGCAUAUCGAAAUAUAUUUUUAUAGUCUCUUUGAUCGAAAAUGGGAUAAAAAGGAGUGGAAAGGAAAACGAUGUAAAGAAUGCAAGGGUUAAAGAUUAAAGAUUAAAGAAAGAUUAUCUUAAUUUUUUUUUCACUCUCUUUUUCUUCUUUUUCCUUUCUUUCUUUCGUUUUUUUCUUUUUUUUUUUUUAUCUAUUUCAAAGGGAAAAAACAUCGACGAGCGUUCUUUUUGAAUUUGUAACUUGAUCAAUCGUAAGAUGACUCGUUAAAUGAAAGUUAGAACAUUCUCAGGUAUUUCUACGAUGGACGCGUAGUGUAACUGAAAUUAUAAGUCCACGCGAGUUACACGCGAGGUAUAUCGGCUUGGUUCUUGUACGUCGGUGUAUAUCUAUAAUUUAAUCGGUAAUCCUUAUGCCUGAAAAAGAGAGAGAGAGGGAGAGAGGGAGAGGGAGAGAGAGAGAGAGAGAUUUAGAAACUCUUGAGAACGUAGGAGAACAUAGUGCACUUAACGACAUUCGAGAACUCCUUUACGGCGAAGCAAGCAAGGGGGCGUAAACUUUUGACCUGUUAUGCUUAUCGAAGCAUAUCUGAUACUGUCCACCACAUAGUCGUGUGCUUCUCAGCACUCGUACUUUGGCUUUCCAUCGAACCCAACGCUCACGCCCAGUUCCUGUUCGUCCUUCUUCCUUCUCCUCCUCCUCCUUCUCCUCCUCCUCCUCCUCCUCAUCCUUCUCCUUCGCAUCCUCCCACUCCUCUUCCUUUUCAUAACUGUUCAAAAAGAAGGAAGAAAUUCGACUCGAUUCAGAUCGCGUAUCUUUUGUUGUUGAAAGUAAAAAUAAUAAUAAUUAUAAAGAUACAAUCGAGAAGGAGAAGUCGAUUCCUUUGAUUAAAGUCGAAUCACUUCCUGGUUUAUGGUGAAUACACGCUAUAAAAAAUGUUUUGGAAAGUCAAAUAGUAGGCUCGGACCUUCUUAAAAAACGAUGCAAUUCUCCUUAAAUUUUUAAUUUGUACCGUGAGAAGAUUUGUUUAAGUAACGCGUGUAUAUAUACGUACAUGGUACAUGUAUAUAUAUACAAGUAUACAUAGAUAUCGAUGUUUUUAACCCUCUGUGGUUCCAACAUAUAAAACCUUCGUUACAAUCAAGGGUGACUAUCUUUUACCCGCAUGGACGUGCCUUUCUCGAUACGCUCUUAGUAAUAAUAAUACACCCAGAGAGCCUUUCGAUUUUUAUCGAAGUGGAACGAGGAAGACGCGUACGCUUACGUCUACCAUGUGGUUUCUGUAUAAUCGUGUCCGAAAAUAUUCGACUGAAAAAUCUUCUCGAUUUAUCGAUAUUCGGUACUAACGAGUAUACAUAAUCGAUUGGAGAAUCACCAUUUAAGAUCGAUAAAAUCAGGAUGAUAUCGUUGAUGGCCUUUUGACGAUAAAACCAAUGACGAAAACGGAGAAGAGAAGGGUGACAGAAAAGAAAGAAGAAACAAAGAAAAAAGAAAGAAAAGAAAGAGAAAGAAAAAAAAUCCUUGUAUCACGGAGGCAAAACGAAGGGAGAAAAGAACAAGGGACAACGGAGAUAGAAGGAACACAAGUAAAUAAGUAAGUAUGUAUGUAUGUAUUUAUGUAUAUAUGUAUGUAUGACGAAGGUGGUCGGAUCGAGAGCAGACAAUUUAAUUGUUCGAACUUAAAUGGAGAACAGCUGCCUUUUCUCCCGCCUAACAAGCCGAUAAUAACCCGCUUCUAAGGUCUUCUCAUCUUCUUUUCCGAUCUAUCUUUUUCUUCUAUAACGAGAGAGAGAGAGAGAGAGAGAGAGAGAGAGAGAGAGAGAGAGAAAGAGAAAGAAAGAAGUUUGACCAUGACGCCCAUAACAUCGAUGUUACCUUGGAUUUAUAAACGAGGGCCUAUCCGUGAAACAGCAGGUGCUUCCGUUGCUUCGGACAUCGAACGAAAUAAGGAUGAGAAGAAAGCAUAAGCGCGCGUGCGUGCGAGAAAGAGAGAGAGAGAGAGAGAGAGAACAAUAAAAAUAGAAAAAAGAAAUAGAAUCAUUCUCUUCCUCUCGUCCUAAUUCCAUCUUAAUCGGGGGCUCGGUUCGUCUUUUUCUUUUUUUUUCCUUCCUCUUUUUUUUCUUCUUUUUUUAUUCUCGUGCCACGCCAAGGGGUAGGGCUCAAUUUCCGACGGAGAGAGAGAAAGAGAGAGAGAGAGAGAGAGAGAGAGAGAAAAAGAAAGAAAGAAAGAAAAAAAGAAGCUCGUGCCAUGUUAAAUAUCAACGUUUGAUGGGCUUUAUAAGGGUGCCUAUCAUUAUUAAAUUUCUAUAUAGUACGAAACUAAGCCUAAUCAUUAUUGCGAAUAACAUUUCGGACGAAAUCCAAUCGUGUUUUUUCGUCGUUCGCAUUUCAAUGCGAUUAGAUGAAAUUAAAUGGCAACCGGCAACCGAUAACCAGCAACCAGCAAUCGGGUUCUUCAAUAGAUAUAUAUAUAUAUAUAUACAUAUAUAUAUACCCGUGUAUAUAUACAUCUAUAGAUAUAUCUAUAGGUAUAUAAAAGUUAGUAAGGUUCAUAAAAAACUAGUAUUCUCGAAAGGAAAUCUUUCUCUCUCUCUCUCUCUCCCUCUCUUUCUCUCUCUCCCUCACUGUCUCUGGGCAAUUCUUCUCGUAGUUUCUCAGUAUCGCGAACGCACCAAGAAACGACGAAGGUUUAAAAGCCUUCGACUCGGAAUACAUCGUUGGAGGACUCUCUCCUCUAUCAUAGUAAAAGCAAGACAGAGCGCGACACGAUAAAGCAAGAAACGAAAUGUAGAAUUAUCAGAAGAAAGAGAGAGAGAGAGAGAGAGAGAGAGAGAGAGAGAGAGAGAGAGAGGGAAACAAAAAGAGAUAAAGAGUAAGAGAAAUAGAACGAUCUAGUCGAUGGAUAAGAGAGCUUGACUAGAACGAAUUCGCGUAUAGAGUACAAAGGGUAUCCCUUUGUGCUUCCUUUACUAGCGAAUUGCAUUAAAACUUAUGUUCUCUUAAAGAAAGAAAAAAGUGGUAGUGGUGGUGGUAGGAGGACGUUGAACGGGGACGGGGGAACAAGGGAUGUAUGAAAGAAAGAAAUAGAACGAAUGAAAAAUAAUCAGUCAUAGAAAACGAAGACAAGAGAGAUCGGAAUAGAAAGAGAGAGAGAGAGAGAGAAAGAGUGGAGUAGGUUAGAAGCCUUAACAAUUUGAUAUUCGAUCGAUAACGUCCUGAUAUCGGUCAGGGACAUUUUACGAGGAAUCCCUAUAUGUUGAAAACUGAAAAAAAAGAAAAAAAAAUAGAGAGGAAAAGAAAGAGUGGGAGAUAUAUAUAUAUAUAUAUAUAGAGAGAGAGAGAGAGAGAGAGAGAAAUAGUAAAACUCAUUUGUGUCUACUUUAUACUCUACGCUUGACACGAAGUAGAAGAGAACUAGCCAAACUUCACUUUUCUUUUCCAAACCUUUGAAAAUCGCAAAAAGCCUUCUAUAUUUCUUUUUUUCUUUUUUUAUUUUCUCUCUUUUUCUUUCUCUUUCUAUCGUGCUCUAUUUAACAUAGAACUGCUACGGGAUAUUUUAACUUCUUCCUUAUCUAAAGACCGUUCGAAAAUCGACGAAAGGCAUCACAUCUCGUUUCACUAUGUCUCCUCUUUCUCUCUCUCUCUCUCUCUCUCUCUCUCUCUCUCUCUCUCUUUGUCUCUAUCUCUCUCUUUCUCCCUUCUUUCGUUUUCUCGUCGAGAGGAGGUAGUUCUUUUCGUUCUUUGAUAUUCUUCGAGGCUUUUUAGUCGUUGAAAUUAAUGAAAAUGAAGCGGAACGCGAAUAAAGCGCAGUUUGUAUGAUCUCUUUUGUUUCGUAGAACGUGUGUGUGUGUGUGUGUGUAAGAGAGAUAGCUCUUUUUACUAAUACGAGAAAUAUGAUAAAUGUCAAACGACCAUGAAAAUAUACAUCUUUUGAAGGACGUAAAGGUCGUUAAAAAUCAAAGUGAAAUCUCAUUAAAUAAUGGAAUAGAUAAUAUAAUCUUAAAUAAUAGAAUAAAUAAUAGAAUAGAUAUAGGAUACUUAUACGGUUUUCGAAGAUAUUACAAUAUUUCUUGUAAAUAUAUUUUUAAUAGUUUCGACGAGAAUAAUAGAUGAAAUACUAUAUCGUAAUAGGAAAACUGAAGAAUCUCAUAGUUCCCUCUUACAUAUCUCGUUGCGCAGGCAACGAGAGUCACUCUUGAAAGGAUCAAUAUCUUGAAAAAUCCUUAUCGUACUUACUUCGUUUACACGAGUAAUAAGCCACUCGAGAAUUUCAUGUAGUUUUCCUACUAAGGGUUAUAUGUGGAUCAUCGAAAAAUAAUGUAAGUACUUAUAUACAAAUAUUUACUCAUAUUCAACAUAUAUAUAUAUAUAUAUGUAGGUAUAUACUCGACUAAAAGAGAAGAUACAGAAACGAUGGACAUGCCCUUGCAUACAUACAUACAUACAUGCAUACAUGCAUACAUACAUACAUAUAUGUAUAUAUAUAUAUAUACAAAAUAUAUCUAUAUAUAAUAAUGUACUGGAAGAGAUCGUUUUCUCGGGGCGCAGCAUUAAUAGUACUUAUCUUCCGCACGGUACACCACAUGGUAAUUAUCGUCCAAUCUUGGUCGAAGGACCACCAGCCUUUCACGAUAUAAUUCUUCUGAGUUUGCUACUUAAAAGCGUGCGUCUCUUCUUUCCUUUCUCUCUCUUUUUCUCUCUCUUUCAUCCUCCUUCGAAAAGGCGCGUAUACCGUACGGGAUUUAAAUUUAAUUUAGCGUUUUCACGUUCCGUCACGAUAACGAGCACUUGACAGCCGAUUAUAAUAAUUAUCGUAGGAAAAAAAGGGAUACAUAUUCCUCGUUGCUAUCCUGUACGAACUAUGGUGAUUUGUGAAAGGAGUCGUAAACUCGUGAUCUCGAUUAACCCGUCAACUCGGUCCAGACUUUCAUCCCUUUUUUUCUUCUCUCUCUCUCUCUCUCUCUUCAUUUUCUUUUUUAUUCCGUGGCUAUAACGUUCGAUACAAAAUGUGUACGAUGUUCGUCGAUAGUUCGAUCGUAAAUUUUUGCCAUGAUCCCUCGCAGCCGACCGUGAAAACUACUCUGUCCUAACCACCUUGACUAGCUGUAAAUCUAUAGAAAAAAAAGGAAAAAAAAAGCAGACGAUUAUUUCUCUUAAAAUUAUAAACAUAAAAAAAAUCAUAAAUCACGAAGAACGAUGGUUCCGUUCAUUGAUUUUGAUCAAAUGGAAAAAAUGGAAAACAAUCCAUCAUAAACGUAGAGAAAGAGAUAGAGAGAGAGAGAGAGAGAGGGAGAGAGAGAGAGAGAGAGAGAGAGAGAGAGAGAGAGAGAGAUAGAGAGAGAGAGAGAGAGAGAGAAAGAGAGAGAGAGAGAAAAGAAUCGGAUCGUAAAAGUCGACAUUGUCAAAUUUUAAUCUCGUUAACGAAUGUACAAGAGCUUUACGAGGUUCAAGGUAAACAAGUACACGUUGAAAAUUAAGGAUCCAGGCACACGUACCUAUUUUGACCGAGGCGAACAUUUACGAUGAGAUUACACACACACACAUAUAUUGUGUACGCGCAUCCACGUACACACGCAUACAUAUUGUCCUAUUUAAAUAUCGCAGGGAAAAAGGCAUAAUUGCAAAAGAAUUAGACACUCUGGUAAAAGAAAUUUAUUGUAAAGAAACUUGGAAAGGAGAUAAAAGGAAAAAAAGUACAAGGAAAGGACGAAACAAUAUUUAUGACACGGCAACAUGGAGAAAUAGUAUAAUAAGUAAAUAUUUUUAAAAGUCCAAGGAAAGAAAGGCAAAAAGUAAAGAUUAGGAGGAAGGAAAGGCAAAAAAAAGAGAGAGAGAAAAAAAAAGAAAAAAGAUAUUGAGGAAGCACGGAAAAGGUUGUCUGUCUGGCACCUGCCCGUCGAGGAAACUCGACGAUAGCUUCCGAAGUUAAACUUCGCGAAGCAAUAAUAACAAGGAGAAAGAUGAAAGUAUCCUUAUGGCAAAGCUAAUAGGUUAUUUAUUGCUUGUUUAGGACGAGGAACGUGUUCAUAUCCGGAGAAAAAGAAAGCCUGGCCUUUCGACGAUCCAUAGAAAAGGUCCUUUAGCUUUUACGAGAGGGCAUUAACCGAAAAUGAAUGUCUCAUGCGACUUCGUUAUGACUUUUACUAAUAGUUUAUCUUCGGAUCGUCCCUUUCUAAACGAUUAAGUCGUCAAAGGAAUUUUCUUACAUUUACUAAGAGCACUCUUCUUCGAGAAAUGAGAUACGGAUAAUAACGUAAUCGAUGCGCGUUUGCGAAAGCGAAAACGAGGAAAAAUGAGAAAAUUAUCAGAGAAAUUUGAGAAACGCAUUUGUUACGACACGGUGAUAAUGGUUAAUUAAUGGUUGAAAAUUUGGUAGAAAAUAUUUCGACGAUAUUUUUUUCAGUUUUUUUUUUCUUUCUUUUUUUUCUUUUUUUUUUCUUUUUUUUUCUUUUUUUUUCUUUUUUUUUCUUUUUUUUUUAAGAACGAACAAUCAGAAGGAGCGACGCGUUUUUACGGCUGGGAAGAUAAGAUCGAGAUGAAAAAAGAAGGAAGGCGUAAAGACGGGGAUAAGAUCCUAGAAGCUGGCAGAUGUCAACGAUGUCCUUGACGGGAGGUAUAAGGAACCGAAGGAAAGCGAGGAGGAGAGUAGAGUAUGCCGGUGUACUUGCUAACACGAACGACUGUGACUGCUGACAAACCGAGGAGGAUGUGAACUGCCACUUCACCGGAUUCGGACGACAAAAGAGAGAGAGAGAGAGAGAGAGAGAGAGAGAGAGAGAGAGAGAGAGAGAGACAGAAAGCGUUGAAAGCUCUUGAGAAGAGCUUCGUCGCGACAAAGUUUUUUCGUUAAGGACUUACGUAAGACAUUCUUUUUUUUCUUUUUCCUUCGAACUUUCUAUUAUUAAUUUAUAAUGAAUAUUAUUUACGAUCGAUCGAAAGAGUAAUUCUAAGAGAGAUUAAGGGAACGCGACGGGAAAGUAGAUACGCGUUUAUCUUUUUAAAGCAUUGUCAUUCUGAAUCAGCGUGUAUUUCAAGGUAGACAGUUUUAUGGGGUUUUCGAGUAACUUGCUCGCUAGAAAGUAUCGUAUAUGUACACGUAUACGAUAUAUAUAGCUAUAUCUAUAUACAUAUAUAUAUGUACAUAUAUAUAUAUACAUAUAUAUAUAUAUAUAUAUAUAUAUAUACACACACACAUAUAUACACACACGUAUACAUGUAUAUAUUUCGUAGGGUGAUGGUUUCUUUUGGUUACACGAAUAAAUCAUUCCGAGACACGACGGGCGCAGCGGAUAACAAUGUAUAGUACGUAAGCUAUACUUAUUCACGACUCUUUAUACGUUCUCGCGCGUUCGUGCCUCGCAUAAGUUCCUCGAAGAUUAUAGAUUAUGGAACAUUACGUUCUCGAUAAAAGUUUCACUCUCACGCGUUGAAAUAUGAGCUCGAAAAAAGGAGGCCAUCUAAAUCUUUGUCGUUUUGACGUUAAUCCACCUGUUCGAAGUGACGGCGAUUAACAUAGAUGCAUAUUUCUCAACGAAGAAGAAAGACUAAGUAAGGUACGUCGUCAUCAUCGUCGUCAUCGUCUCGUGUCAUUUCUCUCUCUCUUUCUCUCUCUCUCUCUCUCUCUCUCUCUUUUUCUUCAAAUUACGCAUUUUAAACGUUACCUACCUAGAUUAACUUUAAUCCUCCGUCAUCAUAAAAUAGAACGACCUACAAGCUAGGAGUAUCUUCGCGCUCUAGUUAUUUCGCUCUUUAACGUUGGUGGCUAAAGGAAGAAGAGAGAGAGAGAGAGAGAGAGAGGAGAAGAAGAUCAUAGACAAAUAAGAGUUCUCGAGAUUUUAACAAAACCUAUUUGCGAGAGGAAUAAUGAGAAAAAGAGAGGGAGAAAAAAGAAAGAAGAAAAAGUAAAAGAAAAGAAAAGAAGAAAAAAAAAAAGAAGAAGAAGAAGGAAAAAGGUAUCGUAAAAUAUCGAUCUGAACGAGUGAAUCGAGAGCUUUUUCUUCUUCCUCUUUUUCUUCGUAGAAUAAAAAGAGAUAAAGCAAGAGAGAGAGAGAGAGAGAGAGACAGAGAAAGAGAUUCCAAGAGAAACGAUAAGGAUUCUCCAGGUUUUCUCUCCUUCUUCCGCUUUGCUCACAGGUACAUCAUCGUCUUUCUCUCUUUCUCUCCUGUCUUCGAGCCGGUCUUCUCCCUCAAGUGGGCCAAUGUGGACGGGGCUUUGUGAUGGCAUAACGAGCGUGGAGAGCCUCUCCCAUGCCCCGUGUAAUCUGGUCUUCGGGUAAUUGUACGUUAUACGUCCGGAGAAGCUAGCGAGAGUUUGCGAAAAAUCGCGGUUCAUUCGGGUAGAGAGAAGCGUCCUCUUUCUCUCUCUCUCUCUCCCUCUCCCUCUCUUUCUCUUUCUCUCGUGAUGCUGUACUUCGCAAGGAGUGGAGGAAAAAGAAGAAGAAGAAGAAGAAGAAGACGAAGACGAAGAAGAAGAAGAAGGAGGAGGAGGCGAAGUAAAGAGAGCAAAAGAGAACGAUGAGAGAUAGAGAGAGAGAGAGAGAGAGAGAGAAAGGUAAAAAGAGAAGGGGGUAGAGUGUGUGAGAAUACUAUCAGCAGAGUCUUCUCGGGGCCGAGGACCACACCGCGAGACCACCGUGCGUGUCUUCGGCCCUCUUCGUCGAUACAUUCGCGAUCAAACAUCGAACGAACGAACGAACGAACGAGUAAACGUUCUCCUCGCUUAUUUCUAAUCGCUUUUCCUCAACUAUCCUGAAAGUUCUAACAAUUCAAAUGGUAUUGUACUACGUUGGGAAUCAUUAGAAGAACAUCAUGAAAACACACGCAUAAAAUUCAAGAUAUUUCAUUAUCUCUCGUUCAUUUGCUCCCUCGCUUACUUUCUCUCUCUCUCUCUCUCUCUCUCUCUCUCUCUCUCUCUCUC